RNAcentral lists this ribosomal RNA (253 nucleotides) under uncultured bacterium. Its description in RNAcentral is "partial 16S ribosomal RNA". It matches the Rfam family "Bacterial small subunit ribosomal RNA", at positions 524 to 776 of the family's 1533-position model. The record is from RNAcentral.
UACAGAGGUCUCAAGCGUUGUUCGGAUUCAUUGGGCGUAAAGGGUGCGUAGGUGGCGGGGCAAGUCAGGUGUGAAAUCUCGGGGCUCAACCCCGAAACUGCACUUGAUACUGCCUUGCUCGAGUACUGGAGAGGAGACUGGAAUUUACGGUGUAGCAGUGAAAUGCGUAGAUAUCGUAAGGAAGACCAGUGGCGAAGGCGGAUCUCUGGGCAGUUCCUGACACUGAGGCACGAAGGCCAGGGGAGCAAACGGG